Molecule: RNA transcript, 3892 nt
Organism: Erinaceus europaeus (western European hedgehog)
Lineage: Eukaryota; Metazoa; Chordata; Mammalia; Eulipotyphla; Erinaceidae
Gene: YPEL1
Gene name: yippee like 1
Exons: 6
Source: RefSeq, a predicted model, not a curated record
UAACGGCGGCGCGGCGGGGCCGCGGCUCCAAAACAAAGGGCUGGCGGCCCGCGGGGCGGCGGCGGGAGGAUGCCUCGUGCCCUGCCCGGGCGCCAACGGCCGCAGCGCGGCCCGGGCCCCACCGGGGCCCCCUGAGAGCCGAGCCCGCGCCGACCGAGGCCCGGGCCGGAUGGGCGCUGCGGGCGGGGGCGCGCACCGCCGAGCGGCAGUUGUGACAUUUUCCCCUCAUUCCAGCUGUGUAGACAGUGACACAUUUCACUCACUGGAUCUGUGUGGACAGUGCCACACGCCCUCUGAACAACAACGGCUCUUGCUUGCAUACUACAGUGCUUCCUUUGUCAGAGAGCCCAGCACAGCCAUAAUUCUUCCUGUGCCAGCCCUGAGCUGAGCGAGGUGAGCCUGGCAGAGAUGGUGAAGAUGACAAAAUCCAAGACGUUCCAGGCUUAUCUGCCAACCUGUCACAGGACGUAUAGCUGUGUCCACUGCAGAGCCCACCUGGCCAAUCACGAUGAGCUCAUCUCCAAGUCCUUCCAGGGAAGUCAGGGACGAGCCUACCUCUUCAAUUCUGUGGUGAAUGUGGGCUGUGGCCCUGCAGAGGAGCGCGUCCUUCUUACUGGUCUCCACGCAGUCGCAGACAUCUACUGUGAGAACUGCAAAACCACGCUCGGCUGGAAAUACGAACAUGCGUUUGAGAGCAGUCAGAAAUAUAAGGAAGGAAAAUUUAUUAUUGAGCUUGCCCACAUGAUCAAAGACAAUGGUUGGGAGUAAAGUGAGACUUUCCGUUCUCUUUUGAAUACUAUUUUGUGAAAGAGACUGCAAAUGUCACAGAAACCUAGGAACAUCUGGAUGGCAGUUCAUUCACACUUGGCCUCUCCCAACUGUUAACUUGGAGAAAGAAUUAACCAAUUGAUGACUUGUCUGGUCAAUGCCUUCCUUUACCCUGUGCUCUUCAGAUAGCGUAUGGCUGUACUUUCAUAUUGAAUAGAGAACUAAGGCGGUAGGGCAGAACUUCUUCAGAGAGCAAGUCUCAGCCAAGAGUGUUGACAGUGAAGGUACUGUAACCUCUUUUUCCUAACUCACAAAACUACAGUUGGCUUGAUCAAUGUCCCUUGUAGAUGAGCUGUACAGGCAUUGUGCUCACUUAGGAAUCUACAAAGUCAAGAAAUCAACUUACCAAAAAUGUGUUUUUCCCCCUAGUGUUAUUUAAAAAUAGUAUGCCACUGACAUCAUUAUAUUGAUUGAUAAGCUAUAAAAAGAGAAAAGUGUCUGCUGGAACAUCUCAUAGAUUGGAGUCAGUAGCUUCCUUAUCCAGAAAGUAUGAACUUGGCCUUCACAGACUGAGGCUCCUGGGGCUGCAGGCAGCCUGAGCCAAGGGCAGGGCCACUAUGGCUCUGCUCAUGGGUCUGUUAGCCAUGCACUCAACUCAGUGUUAACAGAAUCCAGGAAAAUUGGGUUUCCUUUUCUACUGAUUAGCUUGAAAAGAAAAUCUUUUGUAUGUAGAAGAGGUCAGAACCACCAGGAAAAAGCCCACCUGUGGUGGGCUGGCUGACUUGGAAAUGUUUUCAGAAAAGGUUCGUGUUGCAAGACAGGAGCUUAAGAGCUUUGUGUCAGAGGGUCUGCUAUGCUGGACUACUCACUCCUGGCUUUGUCCUUGCGCUGACACAGGGCCUGUGCAGCAUCCUCAAUCCUGUAUUUUAUAUUUUUCCCUUUUUCAAGAGCCGGGGUUUCCUGCAUGUGCAAUUUCAUUGCCCCUGGGCUGCUUUUUGAUUCACUUACAGUGACAGAAAUUCCUGUGCUACAGCUCCUUGCACUGGCAGUGCCAGGGACUUGACCCCAGGCCACGCGUAUGGCAAGGCAUGCCUCCUACCAACACUCAGCUCUCUCUCCAGUUGCUUGCCAUGUUUUUUGUUUGUUUGUUUGUAACUAGAACAUUGCUUAGCUCUGACUUAUGUUGCUGGAGAUUGAACCUGGGACUUCUGGUGUUUCGGGCAUGAGUCUUUUGCUUAUUAUGCUGUCUCCUCUGCCCCUGUGUAUUUUUAAAGUUUCAGUCCACCCAUGCCUCUACCUGGUCAGUGGGCACUAAACACAGGGUUGAACUAACUCAGAGAGUAGAGGACAAAAAAAACAUUCUCAGUAAGUUUUAGUUUUCAGAGUUCUGUCCCAACUCCUGCUAAGGAUCUGCAGUGGUCUCCAGUGGUCAUUAACAUGCGACUCAAGAGACCAGUGCUGAUGGGUAGGGAGCGAGGAGACGUGCCCAAAUAUCUCUCAGCCUGAAGCCAGCUAUGAAACUGCCUUCAAACAAGGUCAGUUUGGUGGCGCGAACUGGCUGGGACAUGGAGAACAUCCCGGUCUAAUGGGGGUCCCUCCCAGGAUCCCAUGCCCCAACCUGGGCCAGGCUUAGCGCACACCUCUGGCUUUCCCUUUGGCACCAUCUCCGCCCAUGACCCAGUUGCUGCCUGCUCUUGACAGUGUGCUCAGUGUGACUGAGCACAGGGAGCCCUUGCUUGAUACACAUCUGAAUACACAUGUGAAAGGAAGGUCCGGUAUGCAAGUCUUUGAACUUGCAUCUACUCCAGCAGAUGUAGGGUAUCCCCACAGUCUGUUUCUAAGGUGUUCAGCUAUGCAGCCUCCAGACCCCCUGAGCAGUCACUGAGAGGCAAUACCCUCACACCAUGAGGAGAAAUCUGAAGGCCCUUCACUGGCAAACAUUUCAAAUGUUUGUCUUUAGGGAGAACUUGGAAAGGACUGGAAGACAUCUUCCUUGGCUGAAUAUUAGAAGCUGAAAACUUGGCCUGUGACUUUUGCCCUCGUCUUGGUUCCUCCCCGAGCCUGGGUGGUAUGCAGAGGUUCCCCAUGGACUUAGGGUGUGUGGGCUGUGCCCAGACACCUCACAGAGCACCACAGGCAGCAGGCUCCAGUGCUUCACAUAAACUGAAGGGUCUCUAAAAUUCUUCCCAUUUUUGUAUAUGCUGAAACUUCUAUUUGAAGUUUUUUUUAUGUUCCGGGCAAGUUAACUGCUCUUUCAAUCUGAGCACUUUUUUUUUUUUUUUUUUUGUAUUGUCUUUUGUAAUAGCACUGAAAACUUUUUAUUAAGUGGUCUUCUGACUUUUGUAUUUUUUUUAAUUGAUACCAACAGACCUUUGAUUUUUGUUGGUCUUCUCCAAAAUCCAAGAUCCUUUUGAAACCAAAUGAACUGGCCAUGAGCUGGCUUCAGCAAAGAAUAUUCAAGAUUCAGCCAGAUGUGCUGGUGAGGUGUUAAGUGUUCCACCCUCUAAAAUUCAUAAGUAACUAUCAUCCUAUAGUAUUUAUUUAUUUUAAAUGUUUUUUUUGAGAAGGGCAGGUGAUGCUAGGAUUCACAAUGCAUUUAACCUCAACUGUGUAGUAGUGUCCUUUUGUGUAGUAUUUAGAAACAUGGUUUUGUUUUACUGCCAUUUUAUAUAUAAUAUGUAAAGUAUUUUUAUACCUUAAUGCUUAUUCUUGAUGGCAUCUGUCAGAUAUUAGGAUCAGAAAUGUGAAUUUUUUCAAAAGUUCUUUAAUUUACCUGAUGAACCCCACCAGGUACUUAACAGUAUCCAAGUAGUUUUAAUACCUAGAAAAAAACCCUACAAUUUAAACUCCCAAACCACCUACAAAAAUGGAAAGCUUUCCUUGUGGAGGGCCCUGGGCAGGCCAGUCUUCCCGACGUGAGGCAGCUCAUGGCACUGCAACCUCCCUCAGCAGGCGGUGUUGCUGAGAGUUGAGGCUGGACAUAGUGGACAGCAGCACGGGGCUGACCUGAAGCUUCGUCUGGUGGCGCCAGCCUGGUAGCCACUCUCACGUCUCUCAGCUCUCUGUGUUCAGGCCUCAGGCCUUCCUGUCUGUGUGAGGUUUCAAAAUAAAGCUUCUAAUGUCA